GAAAUGCGAUACGUAGUGCGAAUUGCAGAAUUCAGUGAAUCAUCAAAUUCUUGAACGCAAAUUGCGCUUCCGGGUUAGCCCUGGGAGCACGCUUCUUUGAGUAUCGGUUCAAACCAACCUCGACGGCGUUGCAACUUGCAACGUGCGGUCGGAAAAUGAGCGUCACAGCCAGAGUGUGCACUAAGUGGCUGCGUCGCUUCAAGUUCAGAGCCAUAAUGUCGAUUACGCUCAAGUUCAGCCCCUACUGCUGGGAAGAACAAUGGGUACACACCCCAAACUGCUCUUCAUACCAAACUGGCAAUAAGGGUUUGAGUCGUAGUGGACGCGGCUAAAUUGGAAUUAGUCUAGGGGCCGCAAAAAUCUCGAUUUUUGCGACACUCUUUCGAAAUAGAUCUCAGAU
Molecule: unclassified non-coding RNA, 400 nt
Filed under: uncultured fungus
Lineage: Eukaryota; Fungi
Description: sequence contains ITS1
Rfam family: 5.8S ribosomal RNA (bases 1-106)
Source: RNAcentral